GAUGAAGAACGCAGCGAAAUGCGAUAAGUAGUGUGAAUUGCAGAAUUCAGUGAAUCAUCGAAUCUUUGAACGCACAUUGCGCCCUUUGGUAUUCCAAAGGGCAUGCCUGUUCGAGCGUCAUUUGUACCCUCAAGCUUUGCUUGGUGUUGGGCGUCUUGUCUCUAGCUUUGCUGGAGACUCGCCUUAAAGUAAUUGGCAGCCGGCCUACUGGUUUCGGAGCGCAGCACAAGUCGCACUCUCUAUCAGCAAAGGUCUAGCAUCCAUUUAGCCUUUUUUUCAACUUUUGACCUCGGAUCAGGUAGGGAUACCCGCUGAACUUAAGCAUAUCAAUAAGCGGAGGA
This 341-nucleotide unclassified non-coding RNA is filed under the name soil metagenome. Its description in RNAcentral is "partial contains 5.8S ribosomal RNA, internal transcribed spacer 2, and large subunit ribosomal RNA". The stretch from base 1 to 120 matches the Rfam family "5.8S ribosomal RNA", at positions 35 to 154 of the family's 154-position model. The record is from RNAcentral.